CUCGUGUCAGUGUACUAAAGGGCUGGCAUUUAUAUUUCAAGAAACAAGAUUUUGUUUUGUUGUGUUCUCACCAUCUUCAAGGACGUAAGCAAUGAGCAGAACAUUAGAGAAAAUUACUCCAAACGGUGAAAGAAGCUCAAGCUUAUGCCGCUCGCUAACUUCAUAAAUUACAAAAUCAAAUAUAAAUUCCUGAAAUAUUGCUUACACGUACUCGCAGUUGAUGCUCUAUACUGCUCAUACACUACUCAGGACAAGAUUAAUAAGCAGUAGCUUGCAAAUACACGUAAAUUUACGGGAAAAAAUGAAAGAAUCUCCGCUGGGGUGCCAUUGAAUAUUCUUCUCCACAAUGCCGAGAAAUAUCAAUCAAAGCAAUCCAAGUAAACAAUGGCUUGGUCCUUAGGAACAUGUAUUGAGUACAAAAAAUCUAGUGGCUAAUUUCAGAGAGUUCGGAUGUGAAAAGGCAACCUAUAGAAGGCUUCAAUCUCAGAGGUUAUCUUUUACCCAUUUCAGAGCUCCCUUAGCAACAGACCCAGCAAAAUCUUUU
This 544-nucleotide unclassified non-coding RNA is filed under the name Hevea brasiliensis (rubber tree). The record is from RNAcentral. Lineage: Eukaryota; Viridiplantae; Streptophyta; Magnoliopsida; Malpighiales; Euphorbiaceae.